AUUGAACGCUGGCGGCAGGCCUAACACAUGCAAGUCGAGCGGAGCGGCGGACGGGUGAGUAAUGCCUAGGAAUGUGCCUGGUAGCGGGGGAUAACGUCCGGAAAGGGGCGCUAAUACCGCAUACUAUCAGAUGAGCCUAGGUCGGAUUAGCUAGUUGGUGGGGUAAAGGCCUACCAAGGCGACGAUCCGUAACUGGUCUGAGAGGAUGAUCAGUCACACUGGAACUGAGACACGGCCCAGACUCCUACGGGAGGCAGCAGUGGGGAAUUUUGGACAAUGGGCGAAAGCCUGAGCCAGCCAGGCCGCGUGUGUGAAGAAGGUCUUCGGAUUGUAAAGCACUUUUAGUAGGGAGGCGUUACCAACAGAAUAAGCACCGGCUAACUACGUGCCAGCAGCCGCGGUAAUAC
RNAcentral lists this ribosomal RNA (407 nucleotides) under uncultured bacterium. RNAcentral's name for it is "partial 16S ribosomal RNA". It matches the Rfam family "Bacterial small subunit ribosomal RNA", at positions 30 to 526 of the family's 1533-position model. The record is from RNAcentral.